This 305-nucleotide ribosomal RNA is filed under the name Bacillus sp. Expt1_481D5_P4WD_F08. RNAcentral describes it as "bacterial SSU rRNA". It matches the Rfam family "Bacterial small subunit ribosomal RNA", at positions 1046 to 1352 of the family's 1533-position model. Lineage: Bacteria; Bacillati; Bacillota; Bacilli; Caryophanales; Bacillaceae. The record is from RNAcentral.
UGGUUGUCGUCAGAACGAGUCGUGAGAUGUUGGGUUAAGUCCCGCAACGAGCGCAACCCUUGAUCUUAGUUGCCAGCAUUCAGUUGGGCACUCUCAGGUGACUGCCGGUGACAAACCGGAGGAAGGUGGGGAUGACGUCAAAUCAUCAUGCCCCUUAUGACCUGGGCUACACACGUGCUACAAUGGACAAUACAAAGGGGUGCGAGACCGCGAGGUGGAGCAAAUCCCAUAAAAUUGUUCUCAUUUCGGAUUGCAGGCUGCAACUCGCCUGCAUGAAGCCGGAAUCUCUAGUAAUCUCGGAUCAC